UGAGUGCAGAAGCCACCACUGGCAUGA
Molecule: non-coding RNA, 27 nt
Filed under: Mus musculus (house mouse)
Lineage: Eukaryota; Metazoa; Chordata; Mammalia; Rodentia; Muridae
Source: RNAcentral